Molecule: long non-coding RNA, 1890 nt
Organism: Nyctereutes procyonoides (raccoon dog)
Lineage: Eukaryota; Metazoa; Chordata; Mammalia; Carnivora; Canidae
Exons: 3
Source: RefSeq, a predicted model, not a curated record
UGCAGCUUUCACAGAAGCAAGCAGGGAACAGACCUGUACCCAAUGCCACUCCUCUGUGUAGGAGCCCGCUCCGCGGCUCUGCAGGUGAGGAGCCAUGGCCAUCAGAUCAGCUGCGGCACGAGUAAUGGACACUUUCCUCGUCUUCAAUCACUUUACCUCCUGAAGGUAAAGCUAGAAUCGGAAAAGCCAAAAUAAAAAAUGUCCCAAGACCCGGAAGACUCACACUUGCCAGGGGACAAGCGUGCCCUUUGGAGGCCGGUCUCCUUGUCCUACUCCAGACAAGGUGGCUGCCGACGCCCCUAGAGCCUGGGCAGAUCCAAUCCCGUCAUACAACCGUGCAGAGCCACCCCACUGCCGAGGUUCUUGUCCACAGCUAAGAUCACAGGCACAGCCUCAUGGCAGCAUGCAUGGCGUGAAGGGGACCGGCCUUGCUCACUGCCCAUUGCCGUUCCACCACUGUGGUUACUGCCAGCAUUUUCAUCUUGGAGACAAGAAGAAACCCCGGGCUUCUUGGAAGUUCACCUGGCUAGUAGCUGCGGUGCUUACUGAACUUUUUGUCUUGUCACCUCCAUGUCCCACCCUGGGGACAAAGGACUGCGAUGUGAUGCCUGGAAGCAGCAUUGUCUGUCCCUCCACGCCUUCCAAACCUCUUCUUCUCCCUGACUCAAGCUCCGAUAUGUCAGGUAGGGGUAUUUACAUGUUUAUGGAGCGAUGGAAAAAACGCUUUCCCAGGAUGCGGUUACUUUAUUCUUCUUUCCAUCUGGACAUGUGGGGAAUGAUCACAUUUAUCCCAUGUAGCAUUUUGAGGACAUGCAAGUGGAUUGUUUAAACACACAUUUUAAGAUGCAUUUGUUUAUGUAUCAAACAUAUUUACAGAGAGCCUAGUAGGGGCGUGGAAUAAUGUUAGCCAAGGUGCGAGAGUGAACAUAACAGCUUUUCUUUCUCUCCCAAGCAGCACAGUUAAGCAGAGGAGGCGCAGGUCGUACAUUUGCACAAAGAAACACGCAUGUUGUGAAUGGGCGAGCGUGGGGGAAGAGGAGCAUGAGUGUCUCAUUUGAUUUUCAUCAUUGGGAUACUUGUUUUUGAGAAAGUGAUGUUUAAACUAAGAUCCAAAGGGGCGUUGGGAUGCAUCCAAGCAAAGGGACGGGGGUGGCACAUUCCAGAGAGGUGGGAACCCAUGUGGUGGAAGCAGAGCAGGGGAGGACGUGGGUGUGGCAUGUGUCCUGCACGGCCACAGAGAGAACGUGGCUUUUAUUGUAAAAGCAGAGGGAAGCUGCUGAAUGAUCCUGUGAUGGCAUAACUUGUCUCUCCUACUAGACUGUGAACCCCGCAAGGCCAGAAACCCACAUGAACAUGGUGUUGCCCCUCCCACAGCAGCAGAUACUGUGAUUUGCUAACUAAAUAUUUGCUAACUAGAAUGUCCUAAGUUAGAGAUAGCAAGGGUGCUGUCUGAGGUCUUUCACUCAAGCUUUGCUGCAACUCAGAAGGUCCUCGAGCUGCGAGAAGAAUAGAAUGUUAACUUUGUUCCAUCGAGCCAGGACUUCAGAUUUGUUUCUUCUUGUUCCCUCUGGGGUUUUCAAGAUAUUACAUGGAGCUGGUGAAUGUUUCACAUCGUGCUUGGUGGUCACUUCACAGAAAGAAAUGCACAGAAACACCCCAGGGCACGGGGCCUGAUGUUGGGGUCACGGACCGGCGCCUCGUGGAGCAGAGAGGGAGUGAGAGAGAUGGUGGAAGAGGCAAAGGGAGAGAGAAAAUCCCAAGCCGACUCCUCAUUCCGCGUGGAGCCCCAUGCAGGCUCGAUCUCAUAACCCUGAGGUCACGACUUGACCAGAAAUCAAGAGUCGGAGGCUUAACGGACCGAGCCCCCCAGGCACCCCUGUACACUCGCUA